Molecule: unclassified non-coding RNA, 391 nt
Filed under: soil metagenome
Description: partial contains 5.8S ribosomal RNA, internal transcribed spacer 2, and large subunit ribosomal RNA
Rfam family: 5.8S ribosomal RNA (bases 1-122)
Source: RNAcentral
GAUGAAGAACGUAGCGAAAUGCGAUACUUGGUGUGAAUUGCAGAAUCCCGUGAACCAUCGAGUCUUUGAACGCAAGUUGCGCCCGAAGCCAUUAGGCCGAGGGCACGCCUGCCUGGGCGUCACACGUCGUUGCCCCCCCAUCUACUCCUUCGGGAUUGCGGGGGGCGGAUGAUGGCCUCCCGUGCGCCUCGUCGCGCGGUUGGCCUAAAUGCCAAGUCCUCGGCGACGCACGCCACGACAAUCGGUGGUUGCGAAACCUCGGUUGCCUGUCGUGUGCGGUCGUCGCGCAUCGAGGGCUCGAAAAAAUUGCCGGGCUCCGGCUCGGCUUUCAACGCGACCCCAGGUCAGGCGGGGUUACCCGCUGAAUUUAAGCAUAUCAAUAAGCGGAGGA